AUGGCCAUCCCCGUCGAGGAGGCCAUCGCCGCCCUCUCCACCUUCUCCCUCGAGGACGAGCAGCCAGAUGUGCAGGGAUUAGCCGUGCUCCUGUCAAGUGAAAGAUACGCAACUAGUAGUCCUAUCGAGUACAGCGAUGUUGCUGCUUAUCGUCUAUCAUUAGGGGAAGAUACAAAAGCAAUCAACCAGCUGAAUACUCUGAUUCAAGAGGGAAAGGAAAUGGCUUCUUUGCUGUACACAUACCGUAGCUGUGUUAAGGCGCUACCUCAGCUGCCAGAUUCAAUGAAGCAUAGCCAGGCAGAUUUGUACCUAGAAACAUAUCAAGUUCUUGACUUGGAAAUGAGUCGUUUACGUGAAAUUCAGAGGUGGCAAGCAUCUGCUGCUUCAAAGCUGGCAGCUGAUAUGCAGAGGUUUUCUAGGCCCGAGAGACUGGUUAAUGGACCCACAGUCACUCAUUUUUGGUCUAUGCUGAAAUUGCUUGAUGUCCUACUACAGCUUGAUCAUCUUAAGAAUGCAAAAGCAAGUAUACCUAAUGAUUUUUCAUGGUACAAGAGAACAUUUACUCAAGUAAGCACCCAGUGGCAGGACACCGACACUAUGAGAGAAGAGCUGGAUGAUCUUCAGAUUUUUCUGAGCACCAGAUGGGCCAUCUUGUUAAAUUUGCAUGCUGAGAUGUUUCGGACAAAUACUGUUGAGGACAUUCUACAGGUCCUUAUAGUAUUCUGCGUGGAGUCAUUGGAAUUAGACUUUGCUCUUCUUUUCCCUGAGCGUCACACCCUACUUCGUGUUCUCCCAGUUUUGGUUGUUCUAGCAACCUCAUCGGAGAAAGAGAGCGAGUCACUCUAUAAGAGAGUCAAGAUAAACCGUCUUCUCAAUAUUUUUAAGAAUGAUCCAGUUAUUCCGGCAUUUCCAGAUCUGCAUUUAUCCCCUGCUGCAAUGUUGAAGGAAUUGUCAUCAUAUUUUCAAAAUUUCUCCAGUCAAAUUCGUCUUCUUACUCUUCCAGCUCCCCAUGAAAUUCCUCCUCGUGAGCUACAAGAUUAUCAGAGACAUUACCUGAUUCUGAACCACAUGGGAACUAUAAGAGCUGAGCAUGAUGAUUUCUCUAUACGUUUUGCCUCUGCAAUGAACCAGAUGAUAACAUUGAAGUCAUCAGAUGGUGCAGAUAAUGAUUGGUCUAGGGAUAUUAAGGGGAACAUGUAUGAUACUGUUGUGGAAGGCUUCCAGCUUCUUAGUCGAUGGACUGGCAGGAUCUGGGAACAGUGUGCUUGGAAAUUUUCACGCCCUUGCAAAGAGCCACCUAUUUCAGAUUCUCAACAAGAUUCAGCGACAUUUUUUGACUACGAAAAGGUAGUACGUUGGAACUAUACUGCAGAAGAAAGAAGGGCCCUGCUUGAAUUAAUCGGUUAUAUAAAGAGUAUUGGAUUGAUGAUGCAACAUUGUGACACCUUGGUGUCUGAAGCUUUGUGGGAAACAAUACAUAUGGAGGUCCAGGAUUUUGUACAGGAUAAACUAGAUACAAUGCUUCGCACAACAUUUCGGAAGAAGAAGGACCUUUCUCGGAUUCUCUCUGAUAUGCGAACCCUCUCCGCAGAUUGGAUGGCCAACACCAGCAAGGCAGAUCCAGAGCAGCAUUCGCUACACCAAGAAACUGAGGAAAUGAGGCAAAGCACAUUUUACCCGAGACCAGUUGCACCAACAGCUGCACAGAUCCAUUGUUUGCAAUUUCUCAUCUGUGAGCUUGUAUCUGGUGGUAAUCUGAGAAAACCUGGAGGGCUAUUUGGGAAUAGUAGCUCUGGAAUACCUGUGGAAGAUCUUAAACAGCUAGAGACGUUUUUCUACAAGCUCAGUUUUUUCUUGCAUAUUUUGGACUUUACAGCAACGAUUGGUACACUAACUGAUCUUGGAUUUCUUUGGUUUCGAGAGUUCUACCUGGAAUCUUCCCGUGUUAUCCAGUUUCCAAUCGAAUGUUCCCUCCCUUGGAUGCUGGUGGAUCAUGUCAUUGAAUCUCAAGAUGCUGGCCUUCUUGAAAGCAUUUUGAUACCACUUGACCUCUACAAUGACUCUGCUCAACAUGCACUAACUUAUCUCAAACAGAGAUUUCUCUAUGACGAAAUUGAAGCUGAGGUCGAUCUUUCCUUUGAUCUUCUUGUCCAGAAGCUUAAUGAGGUCAUCUUUACAUAUUAUAAGAGUUGUGCAGCAAGUACUCUUCUUGAUAGUUCAUUUACCUAUGCAUGUGAUGAUGGUGAGAAGUACUUUGUCAAACCCUUGAGAUUUGAUGCAAUUUUCAAGCUAAGAAGAGUCAUGAUCUUAGGGAGGACAAUUGACUUAAGAAGUCUAAUUACUCAGAGAAUGAACAAACUGUUCCGAGAAAAUAUCGAUUUCCUACUGGAGCGCUUCGAAUAUGGAGAUCUAUGCGGUGUUGUAGAACUACAACAACUACUGGAUAUUUUGGAGCUUACACAUCAGUCAAUAUCAAGAUUUCUUGAACUGGAUUCUUACUCUCUUAUGAUUAGUGAAAUGCAAGAGAACCUUUCACUGGUUUCUUAUUCGAGUCGCAUCUCUUCUCAGAUAUGGAAUGAGAUGCAAACAGAUUUCUUGCCCAAUUUCAUCCUGUGUAAUACUACACAACGGUUUGUGAGGUCAUUAAAAGGAGCUCAUCACUCUUCUCAGAGAUCAGAUGCUUCUACUGGGAAACCUUACUUCUACUGUGGAUCGCAUGAUUUGACAAUGGCAUACCAGGGUCUUGCUGGUCUGUACCGUGACUUCUUUGGGAUCCCUCACAUGUUUGCAGUUGUUAGACUUCUUGGUUCCAGAUCAUUACCUGGUAUUAUCCGUGCUUUACUGGAUCAUAUAUCAAGUAAGAUAACAGCUAUGGUGCCAAAAGUAACAGGAUUGCAAGAAGCACUGCCAAAGUCUAUUGGACUUCUUUCGUUUGAUGGUGGUAUAGCAGGCUGCCAGAAGAUAAUUCAUGAAAUAUUGACAUGGGAAGCGAAAUCAGAUGUGAAAGUUGAAGUUCUUCAUGAUCUUAAGGAAAUUGGAAGUGCUUUGUAUUGGAUGAGCCUUCUGGACAUUGUUUUGAGACAAAUCGACACUACACAGUUCAUGCAAUCAGCUCCAUGGUUGGGAUUGGUACCAGGAAAUGACGGGCAAGUGAAGCAUGCCUACUCUGAUAAUACUCCAUUUACCACACUGCUCAGUGCUGCCACCAGUGCAGUUGCAUCGAGUCCUGCAUGCGCAAAUCCAUCUUCAUAUCUUGUCAUGUCAAAGCAGGCUGAAGCUGCUAGCCUAUUGUACAAGUCAAAUCUCAACUCAGGGAGCGUGCUGGAGUAUGCUCUUGCUUUCACAAGUGCUGCCCUGGAUAGACAUUACAGCAAAUGGAGUGCAACUCCAAAGACAGGUUUCAUUGACAUAACCACAUCGAAGGACUUCUAUCGUGUUUUUAGUGGUCUUCAGUAUAGCUACUUGGAAGAUAGCAUGACCAAUCCUUCAAAGAAACGAGAAAUGUUGGGCGACUCUGUAGCAUGGGCUGGCUGUACAAUCAUGUACUUGCUGGGGCAGCAGCUACAUUUCGAGCUAUUCGAUUUCUCCUACCAAUUUCUCAAUGUGGCAGAAAUAGAAACCGCGACAGUUUCACUUUAUCAACCCGCGGAUAGGAGCAAAAGCCCAAAUAUCUUCCAGGGCUACGAGGUCAUCCUUGAAGCGAUGAGGAAGGCUAGGAGGCUGAACAACCACGUGUUCUCCAUGUUGAGAGCGCGGUGCCCCCUCGAGGACAAGGUUGCGUGUGCCAUCAAGCCGAGUGGGGCGCCCCUUCACCGUAUGAAGUUUAGCAACACAGUUUCUGCAUUCGAGACAUUGCCACAGAGAGCGAACUCGUAG
This 3876-nucleotide ribosomal RNA is filed under the name Triticum aestivum (bread wheat). Its description in RNAcentral is "partial small subunit ribosomal RNA". Lineage: Eukaryota; Viridiplantae; Streptophyta; Magnoliopsida; Poales; Poaceae. The record is from RNAcentral.